UACGGAGGGUGCGAGCGUUGUCCGGAAUCACUGGGCGUAAAGGGCGCGUAGGCGGCGCGGGCAGUCAACGGUGAAAGCUUGGGGCUCAACCCCGAGUCGGCCGUCGAUACUCCCGUGCUUGAGCACUGUAGAGGCAGGUGGAGUUCCGGGUGUAGCGGUGGAAUGCGUAGAGAUCCGGAAGAACACCGGUGGCGAAGGCGGCCUGCUGGGCAGUAGCUGACGCUGAGGCGCGACAGCGUGGGGAGCAAACAGG
This 253-nucleotide ribosomal RNA is filed under the name uncultured bacterium. RNAcentral's name for it is "partial 16S ribosomal RNA". It matches the Rfam family "Bacterial small subunit ribosomal RNA", at positions 524 to 776 of the family's 1533-position model. The record is from RNAcentral.